Molecule: ribosomal RNA, 255 nt
Filed under: uncultured bacterium
Lineage: Bacteria
Description: partial 16S ribosomal RNA
Rfam family: Bacterial small subunit ribosomal RNA
Source: RNAcentral
UACAGAGGGUGCGAGCGUUGUCCGGAAUCACUGGGCGUAAAGAGCUCGUAGGCGGUCUGUCGCGUCUGCUGUGAAAACCUAGGGCUUAACUCUGGGCGUGCAGUGGGUACGGGCAGGCUAGAGUGCGGUAGGGGAGACUGGAAUUCCGUGGUGUAGCGGUGAAAUGCGCAGAUAUCAGGAGGAACACCGGUGGCGAAGGCGGGUCUCUGGGCCAUUACUGACGCUGGAGGAGCGAAAGCGUGGGUAGCGAACAGG